This 429-nucleotide ribosomal RNA is filed under the name Bacillota bacterium. RNAcentral's name for it is "Firmicutes bacterium partial 16S ribosomal RNA". It matches the Rfam family "Bacterial small subunit ribosomal RNA", at positions 355 to 776 of the family's 1533-position model. Lineage: Bacteria; Bacillati; Bacillota. The record is from RNAcentral.
UGGGGAAUUUUGGACAAUGGGCGAAAGCCUGAUCCAGCAAUGCCGCGCGUGUGAAGAAGGCCUUCGGGUUGUAAAGCACUUUUGUCCGGAAAGAAAUGGCUCUGGUUAAUACCUGGGGUCGAUGACGGUACCGGAAGAAUAAGGACCGGCUAACUACGUGCCAGCAGCCGCGGUAAUACGUAGGGUCCAAGCGUUAAUCGGAAUUACUGGGCGUAAAGCGUGCGCAGGCGGUUGUGCAAGACCGAUGUGAGAUCCCCGAGCUUAACUUGGGAAUUGCAUUGGUGACUGCACGGCUAGAGUGUGUCAGAGGGGGGUAGAAUUCCACGUGUAGCAGUGAAGUGCGUAGAGAUGUGGAGGAAUACCGAUGGCGAAGGCAGCCCCCUGGGAUAACACUGACGCUCAUGCACGAAAGCGUGGGGAGCAAACAGG